GUUCCUACGGGAGGCAGCAGUGGGGAAUAUUGCACAAUGGGGGAAACCCUGAUGCAGCAACGCCGCGUGAGUGAAGAAGUAUUUCGGUAUGUAAAGCUCUAUCAGCAGGGAAGAAAAUGACAGUACCUGACUAAGAAGCCCCGGCUAACUACGUGCCAGCAGCCGCGGUAAUACGUAGGGGGCAAGCGUUAUCCGGAUUUACUGGGUGUAAAGGGAGCGCAGACGGAAAGGCAAGUCAGAAGUGAAAACCCAAGGCUCAACCAUGGGACUGCUUUUGAAACUGUCAAACUAGAGUACGGGAGAGG
RNAcentral lists this ribosomal RNA (305 nucleotides) under uncultured bacterium. Its description in RNAcentral is "bacterial SSU rRNA". It matches the Rfam family "Bacterial small subunit ribosomal RNA", at positions 335 to 657 of the family's 1533-position model. The record is from RNAcentral.